UGCGUAGGCGGGCUAAUAAGUCAGUGGUGAAAUCUCUCGGCUCAACCGGGAAACUGCCAUUGAUACUGUUAGUCUUGAGUUCGGUUGAGGUAGGCGGAAUGUGUAAUGUAGCGGUGAAAUGCUUAGAUAUUACACAGAACACCAAUUGCGUAGGCAGCUUACUAGACCGACACUGACGCUGAGGCACGAAAGCGUGGGGAGCGAACAAGAUUAGAUACCCUGGUAGUC
Molecule: ribosomal RNA, 228 nt
Filed under: uncultured bacterium
Lineage: Bacteria
Description: partial 16S ribosomal RNA
Rfam family: Bacterial small subunit ribosomal RNA
Source: RNAcentral